Molecule: long non-coding RNA, 1077 nt
Filed under: Anas platyrhynchos platyrhynchos (common mallard)
Lineage: Eukaryota; Metazoa; Chordata; Aves; Anseriformes; Anatidae
Description: lncRNA (ENSAPLG00000019877.1)
Source: RNAcentral
AUGGGCUCGGGCCCCUGCAGCAGCCCCAUCCCCAUCUUCAUCUCCAUCCCCAUCCUCAUCCUCAUCCCAUCCCAUCCCCACCGCCGGAGCAGAGCCGGUGCCGAGCCCGGGCGCCCCCGGGGCCGCGGGCGCCGCGCCUCCAACUUGCCGCGGACUUUUCCCCGCUGCCGCGACUUCGGGAAAAGAAGAGCAGAAGGGACCCACGAGGAACACCCCCCGACUAGCGGAGGACGAGGGGAGCGGGAGGACACGCUCUCCCUCAGGCCGGUUACCGCCGUAAUCUCGCAGCUCCUCGGAGCGGGGAUAAAGGCGGCGGGGAUUAACCGGGUCAGCUGCGCGCAGCCCACGGACCCCCCCGGGACCCCCCGGACCCUCUCCCCGGGGCGAGGGCAGCUGCCGGCUCCCAGGAGGGGGGCGACCUCCCCCGGCUGCCCCCUGCCCCCGGACUCACCCAGCUUCUCCGCCCGCAGCCAGAGCGGGGCCGAGGCUCCCAGCAGCAGCGAGAGCAGCAGCGAGGGGGCGGCCCGCGCCCCCCCGGCGGGGCUCAUGGCUCCGGCACAACUUCCCCGCUUCCCUCCCGCUCCUUUCUCUUCCUCUCCUCCUCCUCCUCGCCGGGGCGGCCCCGGGGCCGGCCCUCCUGCCCUCCGAGGGGGGCGGCCGCCCCCUCGCAUCCCUCUGCCGCAGGUGCCGAGCAGGAGCAGGGGCCGCACGGGUGCCCCCCCCCCGAGCCGCGCUGCAGCGCUGCCGCCGCCUGCCCGGGCUGGGGGUGGAGAGAGGAAGCGGGAGAAGGGGCAGCGCCGCCCUUCCCAUCGGGCUGCCUCCUCCUCCUCCUCCUCCUCCUCCUCCUCCUUUUCCUUCUCCCGCCAGCCCCGCUGCCCCCUCCCGGGGCUGCCGCUCCGCCCUGCCGCUGCUUUUCGCCGCCUACAAGCUGAACCCCUCCGGACCUGCCCGGCCCCAGGGGGGCGACCUAUGGCACAGGUGGGGGCGGCCCCGUGCGCUGCUGAGGCGGCUGCUGGCCCCCAAAAAGAGCCCACUUGCAACCCACCUGGAGUCCUGGAGACAACCGGUGGUUAUUAG